Molecule: ribozyme, 77 nt
Filed under: unclassified sequences
Description: HDV ribozyme from F. prausnitzii
Rfam family: HDV ribozyme from F. prausnitzii
Source: RNAcentral
GCUGCUCGAAUAAUAUCACACACCUCUCCGUGGUGGGCAGCAGGCAACGAUCUAUUAUGAUCGGCGAAGAUGUGAGA